GCUUCUCCAGGUCUUUAACGAUCAUUUUUGUUGGAGAAGAUCUUAAUAAUGUCUUCAAAUUCUUCGGAUUCUCCUCCACCUGAUUCAUCUUCACAAUCACCCCCUCCACCAUCUGAAGAAGAAUCAUCGCCUCCUCCACCGUCGUCAUCUCCGCCACCAUCAUCUCCUCCUCCGUCAUCACCACCUCCAUCAUCGCCCCCGCCCGCAUCACCCCCGCCAUCCUCGCCUCCCCCCGAUGAUAAAAAAUCUCCGCCCCCUCCAUCAGGCUCUUCCCCAUCUCCACCAUCACCACCACCACCACCUUCUGACCAAAACUCACCCAACAACCCACCUUCUCCUCCGCCGCCAUCACAUUCCAGCGAACAGUUUUCUCCUCCUCCACCGUCACAUCACCGGUUGUCUCCGGGUCACACUAAAUCAUCAGACUCCGGCACACCAUCAGGGGACAAC
This 450-nucleotide long non-coding RNA is filed under the name Lotus japonicus. RNAcentral's name for it is "long non-coding RNA (LJAP_LNC001179)". The record is from RNAcentral. Lineage: Eukaryota; Viridiplantae; Streptophyta; Magnoliopsida; Fabales; Fabaceae.